GACGAACGCUGGCGGCGUGCUUAACACAUGCAAGUCGAACGGAAAGGCCCUGCUUUUGUGGGGUGCUCGAGUGGCGAACGGGUGAGUAACACGUGAGUAACCUGCCCUUGACUUUGGGAUAACUUCAGGAAACUGGGGCUAAUACCGGAUAGGAGCUCCUGCUGCAUGGUGGGGGUUGGAAAGUUUCGGCGGUUGGGGAUGGACUCGCGGCUUAUCAGCUUGUUGGUGGGGUAGUGGCUUACCAAGGCUUUGACGGGUAGCCGGCCUGAGAGGGUGACCGGCCACAUUGGGACUGAGAUACGGCCCAGACUCCUACGGGAGGCAGCAGUGGGGAAUAUUGCACAAUGGGCGGAAGCCUGAUGCAGCAACGCCGCGUGCGGGAUGACGGCCUUCGGGUUGUAAACCGCUUUCGCCUGUGACGAAGCGUGAGUGACGGUAAUGGGUAAAGAAGCACCGGCUAACUGUGUG
Molecule: ribosomal RNA, 468 nt
Filed under: uncultured bacterium
Lineage: Bacteria
Description: partial 16S ribosomal RNA
Rfam family: Bacterial small subunit ribosomal RNA
Source: RNAcentral